Long non-coding RNA from Cucumis melo (muskmelon), 229 nucleotides. RefSeq lists it as uncharacterized. Lineage: Eukaryota; Viridiplantae; Streptophyta; Magnoliopsida; Cucurbitales; Cucurbitaceae. The record is from RefSeq and is a predicted model, not a curated record. The transcript is spliced from 3 exons.
CUUCAACCUCCAAGCCGAACCGAUCCGUGUCCUUUUUUCAGCCGAGCCGCCAAGCCUAAUUUGGCUCCUUCCACCUAAUUUUUGGGACGUCUUGGACCAAGUAACUGCUGCAGUGUGGGAUUUCUUCAGUAGGGGCUCGAGCAUUGCAACCUCUUUCUAGGUUAGGACCUCGUUGCUUGGAAAGCACACUUGCCUCGCGGUUAGAACUCGCCAAGUAAAUCUCCAGGUA